This 492-nucleotide ribosomal RNA is filed under the name uncultured bacterium. RNAcentral describes it as "partial 16S ribosomal RNA". It matches the Rfam family "Bacterial small subunit ribosomal RNA", at positions 29 to 507 of the family's 1533-position model. The record is from RNAcentral.
AUUGAACGCUGGCGGCAUGCUUUACACAUGCAAGUCGAACGGUAACAGGCCUUCGGGUGCUGACGAGUGGCGAACGGGUGAGUAAUGCAUCGGAACGUACCCAGAGGUGGGGGAUAACGCAGCGAAAGCUGUGCUAAUACCGCAUGUGAUCUGAGGAUGAAAGCGGGGGACCGAGCAGCAAUGUUUGGCCUCGCGCCUUUGGAGCGGCCGAUGUCGGAUUAGCUAGUUGGUGGGGUAAAGGCCUACCAAGGCGACGAUCCGUAGCUGGUCUGAGAGGACGACCAGCCACACUGGGAGUGAGACACGGCCCAGACUCCUACGGGAGGCAGCAAUGGGGAAUUUUGGACAAUGGGCGCAAGCCUGAUCCAGCAAUGCCGCGUGCGGGAAGAAGGCCUUCGGGUUGUAAACCGCUUUUGGCAGGAACGAAACGGUGUCCGCUAAUACCGGGCGCUAAUGACGGUACCUGCAGAAUAAGCACCGGCUAACUACGUG